GCAGCAUAUUUUGAAGUUACUGUCUAUUUUCAAAGGUUUAAUUAUUUUAUUAAAAAAAGUAAUUUAAAAUUUAUAAUGUAUUAGUAUAUUUUAUAGAAUUUAUAUAAAUAAAAGAACUGUAAAGGAGUGUUUGAAAUAUAUUAAAAUAUAAUUUUGUAAAAGUAGAUUAGUAUUGUACCUUUUGUAUCAGGGUUUAUUAAUAUAAUACAUUUAAUUAAUUUAUUCCCGAAUAAAAAAGAGUUAAAAUAUAUAGUUUUAUUAUGUAGAAAAAUAAUAAGUAAAUAUAUUUUAGGUGUGAAAUGUAAGUCGGGUUUUUAGAUAUCUGGUUGUUUAAAAAGUAGAUUUAAUCUAGUCUUGUAUUUAGUAUAUUUCAAUUAGUAAAUUGUAAAAAGUAUAAGAUAAAAAGUAAGGGGGAUAAGCUCUUUAUUUUAGGUAAAUAAAGUUUUGAAAUAAUAUUUAUAGGCUUGAAAUUAGCCAUUUAGAAUAAUUUGUAAUAAAUAAUAUAGUUAUGGUAAUAUUUAAAUUUUAUUGCUAUGUAAUUAAAUAAUUUAAUUUAAUAAAAAAAUUAAAGUUAUAAUGAUAAAAUUAGUAAAUUGUAAAAGUUUAAAUAAGGAAUUCGGCAAAUAUAUUGUUUGACUGUUUAACAAAAACAUAGCCUCUUGAUGAAAUAGGAGGUAUAGUCUGCCCACUGAAUAAUUGAAGGGCCGCGGUAUUUUGACCGUGCAAAGGUAGCAUAAUCAUUAGUCUUUUAAUUGGAGGCUGGCAUGAAGGGCUGCACAUAACAAAAUCUGUCUCAUUUAAAUAAGUAAAUUUAAUUUUUAAGUGAAAAAGCUUAAAUAUAUUAAGGGGACGAGAAGACCCUAUAGAGCUUAAUUAAUAUAAUAAUUAUAUCUUUAGGGGGAGUUAAGUAUGAUUGUUGUAUUAAAUUUAUUGGGGUGAUAAGAAAAUAGUUAAACUUUUCUAGUAAUAACAAUUUUAAUUGGUUGUAUGAUCCUUUAUUAUGGAUUAUAAGAUUAAGUUACCUUAGGGAUAACAGCGUAAUUUUUUUGGAGAGUUCUUAUCGAUAAAAAAGUUUGCGACCUCGAUGUUGGACUAAGAAUAGGAUUGGGGGCAGUUUCUCAAUAACCUAGGUCUGUUCGACCUUUAAAUUCUUACAUGAUCUGAGUUCAGACCGGCGUGAGCCAGGUCGGUUUCUAUCUUUUAAAUAUUAGACUUUUUUAGUACGAAAGGACCAAGAAGUCGGGGAAGCCUCAUAUUAAAGAGUAUGAUUAA
RNAcentral lists this ribosomal RNA (1272 nucleotides) under Caenis robusta. RNAcentral's name for it is "16S ribosomal RNA". The stretch from base 818 to 1272 matches the Rfam family "Bacterial large subunit ribosomal RNA", at positions 2048 to 2748 of the family's 2925-position model. Lineage: Eukaryota; Metazoa; Arthropoda; Insecta; Ephemeroptera; Caenidae. The record is from RNAcentral.